Molecule: ribosomal RNA, 753 nt
Filed under: uncultured Glomus
Lineage: Eukaryota; Fungi; Glomeromycota; Glomeromycetes; Glomerales; Glomeraceae
Description: SSU rRNA
Rfam family: Eukaryotic small subunit ribosomal RNA
Source: RNAcentral
GGCCUACCAUGGUGGUAACGGGUAACGGGGUGUUAGGGCACGACACCGGAGAGGGAGCCUGAGAAACGGCUACCACAUCCAAGGAUGGCAGCAGGCGCGCAAAUUACCCAAUCCCGACACGGGGAGGUAGUGACAAUAAAUAACAAUACGGGGUUCUUUAGGAUCUCGUAAUUGGAAUGAGUACAAUUUAAAUCUCUUAACGAGGAACAAUUGGAGGGCAAGUCUGGUGCCAGCAGCCGCGGUAAUUCCAGCUCCAAUAGCGUAUAUUAAAGUUGUUGCAGUUAAAAAGCUCGUAGUUGAAUUUCGGGGUUAGUAAGUUGGUCAUGCCAUUGGUAUGCACUGGCUUUACUGAUUCCUCCUUCUUGACGAACCGUGAUGUCAUUAAUUUGAUGUUGCGGGAAAUCAGGACUGUUACUUUGAAAAAAUUAGAGUGUUUAAAGCAGGCUAACGCUUGAAUACAUUAGCAUGGAAUAAUGAAAUAGGACGUUAAUCCUAUUUUGUUGGUUUCUAGGAUCGACGUAAUGAUUAAUAGGGAUAGUUGGGGGCAUUGGUAUUCAAUUGUCAGAGGUGAAAUUCUUGGAUUUAUUGAAGACUAACUACUGCGAAAGCAUUUGCCCAAGGAUGUUUUCAUUAAUCAAGAACGAAAGUUAGGGGAUCGAAGACGAUCAGAUACCGUCGUAGUCUUAACCAUAAACUAUGCCGACUAGGGAUCGGAUGAUGUUAAUUCUUUAAUGACUCAUUCGGCGCCUUACG